GACGAACGCUGGCGGCGUGCUUAACACAUGCAAGUUGAACGGUUCGGGCCGAGUAGCAAUAUGAGGCCCGGAUAGUAGCGGACGGGUGAGUAACGCGUGAGCAACCUACCUUUGUGAGGGGGACAACAGCUGGAAACGGCUGCUAAUACCGCAUAAGGCCACGGCUCCGAGUGGAGCUGAGGUAAAAGAAAUUCGCACAAAGAUGGGCUCGCGUCCCAUUAGCUAGUUGGUGAGGUAACGGCCCACCAAGGCAACGAUGGGUAGCCGACCUGAGAGGGUGAUCGGCCACACUGGAACUGAGAUACGGUCCAGACUCCUACGGGAGGCAGCAGUGGGGAAUAUUGGGCAAUGGGCGCAAGCCUGACCCAGCAACGCCGCGUGAGGGAAGAAGGUCUUCGGAUUGUAAACCUCUGUCCUUGGGGACGAAAAAAUGACGGUACCCAAGGAGGAAGCUCCGGCUAACUACGUG
RNAcentral lists this ribosomal RNA (469 nucleotides) under uncultured bacterium. Its description in RNAcentral is "bacterial SSU rRNA". It matches the Rfam family "Bacterial small subunit ribosomal RNA", at positions 28 to 507 of the family's 1533-position model. The record is from RNAcentral.